AUUGGAUGAAAUUCAGAUGUACAAAGAUGAAGAAACAUUGUUUCUAAAUCCAAGUAUAUCAAUACUACCUUGUUCAGAACUUAAAGAGAAAUCUUGAGUUUAUGGACUUCAGGGGGAGUAUGGUCACAAGGCUGAAACUUAAAGGAAUUGACGGAAGGGCACACCAGGAGUGGAGCCUGCGGCUUAAUUUGACUCAACACGGGAAAACUUACCAAGACCGAACAGUAGAAGGAAUGACA
Molecule: ribosomal RNA, 239 nt
Filed under: Entamoeba dispar
Lineage: Eukaryota; Evosea; Mastigamoebida; Endamoebidae
Description: partial 18S ribosomal RNA
Rfam family: Eukaryotic small subunit ribosomal RNA
Source: RNAcentral